This is a long non-coding RNA of Xyrauchen texanus (razorback sucker), 1359 nucleotides long. RefSeq lists it as uncharacterized. NCBI's taxonomy places the organism in Eukaryota, Metazoa, Chordata, Actinopteri, Cypriniformes, Catostomidae. The transcript is spliced from 4 exons. The record is from RefSeq and is a predicted model, not a curated record.
CAGUUGGUUUGCCAGCCUCUCCCCUCUGCCUUUCAGCUCCGACUGGAGUUUUUAUGACAGCACCGAAACCCGAAAUGGACCAGAACGAGCAGGAUUCUUUCGCUCUCAAGGCCAUGCGCUCGUCUUCUCACAUGAAAAGAAGGAGCAAACUUCGAUACAUUUGAGCAUCUCCACUGAAAUUUGAGCAGAUUUCUCUCGGCUGAUGGGACUCCAGUGGAACCUACGGCUGCUCUGAGCAUCUUCCUUAAUCAGAGCUUUUAACCCGUCAGAUGGUGGUUACAGGUGGCCGCAGGUGCUCCCUUUACCUGGACGAAAUGCAGUGUGUAGAGGGCAGAUGAUUCAUUGUUUUUUGCUCGUGGGUAAGUCAUACUUUUUUUUCCAGAUGUACUGCGCAAACCAUAAUUCAUACCUGAGCAGCUGUUGUUUAUAUUCUUUUGGGUUUUUUAAAUAGGCAUUCUUAUUGUAUUAUUAUUUAUUUUCUAAUGAACAGUUGUAGGACUAAAAAAGUGUAUGGUUAUGUUUACAUGAUGUGUUAAAUAAAGACGUGAAAAUGUAUCACUGUUUAUAUGUUAUUUAAGGAGAAUGUGUUUGUCUGUUGUUGUGAAUUUGUUGAAGAUCACAUCAAAGUUAAUGGCCAGGUAAAAACAGAGGGUGCACAUAUUUUUCCUGCAACUAUAUGUAUUCUUACAUUACAAUAAAUACAUAAUAAACUAGAAAAAAAAUCCUACAGUGCAUGUACUGCAGAAAUAAAGCAUUGUGUUUUUGUAAGUGUACUGUAGCAGUUUCAGCAGGUGAGUUUGCCACACACACACACACACACACACACACACACACACAUCCCGCAUUAAAAUAGGAGGGGAUUUGAGACAGACCCUUUGACUUUCAGCUCUCAGACAUGCACAAAAAUAUACCUUCACUCACAUGUGCUAACGCAAAUGAAUGCAAACACUUUUAAACACUCUCAAACCACAAAUGUCCACUAAAGCCUGUUUAAUCUCUUUUUGUAGAUGUUCAGGACUUCCUUAAAAAUGAUAUUGAUAUUUCUUAUCUCCUUUUUUGUGCAGUGUUUUUUGGGAGUGGCCAGUUAUUAAUUUGGCACUGACUGACUGUAUACAACUUUGUAGAGUUUAGUAUUAAUGGUCAAAGACAUAAAUCAAAAUGGUAAAACAGUUCACCAUUGCAAUUGGUAACAUUGUUAUCUCUUUUUCAAUUAACACAUGAAAUCAUAAAAGUAUAACAACUGCAUGUAUAUAACGUGACAUGUGUACACAAAUGAAGGUGGAAGUGACUGAGUUUGUGUGUGUAAACAUGUAAAAGGUUGUAGCAGCAACAUCACAGCAUUAGUUACGUGUGAGUGUU